UACGAAGGGGGCUAGCGUUGUUCGGAGUUACUGGGCGUAAAGGGCGCGUAGGCGGCGCAUCAAGUCAGGCGUGAAAGCCCUGGGCUCAACCCGGGAAUUGCGCUUGAGACUGGUGUGCUUGAGUACGGGAGAGGAUAGUGGAAUUCCCAGUGUAGAGGUGAAAUUCGUAGAUAUCGGGAGGAACACCUGUGGCGAAAGCGGCGCACUGGACCACAACUGACGCUGAGGCGCGAAAGCUAGGGGAGCAAACAGG
This 253-nucleotide ribosomal RNA is filed under the name uncultured bacterium. RNAcentral describes it as "partial 16S ribosomal RNA". It matches the Rfam family "Bacterial small subunit ribosomal RNA", at positions 524 to 776 of the family's 1533-position model. The record is from RNAcentral.